Molecule: transfer-messenger RNA, 353 nt
Filed under: pig gut metagenome
Rfam family: transfer-messenger RNA
About the family: Bacterial tmRNA, also known as 10Sa RNA or SsrA, is named for its dual tRNA and mRNA-like properties. Its role is to liberate the mRNA from a stalled ribosome.
Source: RNAcentral
GGGGCUGUUAUGUUUCGACAGAAUAGUUGUACGUAUGAGCGCAGGUAGUAGGGAUACUAUAAAUCCAAAAAUAAAAUAAUCGGAAACGAUUACAAUUUUGCACCUGCUUUUGCCUAGUUUAAGGUAGCAGAUGGUUCCACCUUUUCUUUGUCUACGAGAAAAGAUAUGGGACACAUAAAAGUAGACUAUAUUAUUUAUUUGUCUAGGAUAAAUAAUGAAUAUUAACUAGACUUAGAAAAAUAUAGGAAUGUUGGCUCUCCAUAAUAUUUUUUGAAAUAAUAAACCAACUAAACUUGUACACGCUUGUAUGGUUAAUAUUUUGGACACGAGCUCGAUACUCGUCAGCUCCACCA